GCUUUUCCAGAACUACAAGUAAAGGCCACAGCCAGAUGCCAGAGUAUAUAUGCAUAUUUGAACAGUCACCUGGAUCUGAUUAAGAAGGCUCAGCCUGUGGGUUUCCUUACUGUUGAUUUACAUGUUUGGCCAGAUUUCCAUGGCAACCGCUCUCCCUUAGCAGAUCUGACACUAAAGGGCAUGGUCACCGGAUUGAAACUGUCUCAGGACCUCGAUGAUCUUGCCAUUCUCUACCUGGCCACAGUUCAAGCCAUUGCUUUGGGGACUCGCUUCAUUAUAGAAGCCAUGGAGGCAGCAGGGCACUCAAUCAGUACUCUUUUCCUAUGUGGAGGCCUCAGCAAGAAUCCCCUUUUUGUGCAAAUGCAUGCAGACAUUACUGGAAGCAAUGGCAAAAAUGAGCAAAGUUGGGAAAGUUGUGUUCCCGAGACUACAGGAUAAAAAAUACUAUGAUAAGAAAUACCAAGUAUUCCUGAAGCUGGUUGAACACCAGAAGGAGUAUUUGGCGAUCAUGAAUGAUGACUGAACAGGGCUUGCAGUUGCUGAUGCCAGAAGCUUCUGUGCCAUUGCAUUAAAGACUUCUGUCAUUUGAUCCAUGUUCAAGACCCUUGAGGUAUUGUUUCAUCAUUUCUGUAUUGUCUUUCAAUAAAGAAGACAAACAUGUGCAACCAGAA
This 671-nucleotide small RNA is filed under the name Pongo abelii (Sumatran orangutan). RNAcentral's name for it is "processed transcript". The record is from RNAcentral. Lineage: Eukaryota; Metazoa; Chordata; Mammalia; Primates; Hominidae.